RNAcentral lists this ribosomal RNA (478 nucleotides) under uncultured bacterium. RNAcentral describes it as "partial 16S ribosomal RNA". It matches the Rfam family "Bacterial small subunit ribosomal RNA", at positions 28 to 523 of the family's 1533-position model. The record is from RNAcentral.
GACGAACGCUGGCGGCGUGCUUAACACAUGCAAGUCGAACGGUAAGGCCCUUCGGGGUACACGAGUGGCGAACGGGUGAGUAACACGUGGGUGAUCUGCCCUGCACUUCGGGAUAAGCCUGGGAAACUGGGUCUAAUACCGGAUAGGACCCUGGGAUGCAUGUCCUGGGGUGGAAAGCUUUUGCGGUGUGGGAUGGGCCCGCGGCCUAUUAGCUUGUUGGUGGGGUGAUGGCCUACCAAGGCGACGACGGGUAGCCGGCCUGAGAGGGUGACCGGCAACACUGGGACUGAGAUACGGCCCAGACUCCUACGGGAGGCAGCAGUGGGGAAUAUUGCACAAUGGGCGCAAGCCUGAUGCAGCGACGCCGCGUGAGGGAUGACGGCCUUCGGGUUGUAAACCUCUUUCAGCACCGACGAAGCGCAAGUGACGGUAGGUGCAGAAGAAGGACCGGCCAACUACGUGCCAGCAGCCGCCGUAA